UCCAGCUGUUUGUGGAGCUUCCACUCAAACAGGUCUAUUAGCUGUCAUCCAAUUAGUGUCACUGCAUGGCUGACUCAAUGACUUUGCUGACUCACGGCAUUUUAGAGCCAGCAGGAACUUCCCAAGUCACUGGCUCUGUGACUCCACAGCAGGAGGUACACUUGACAAGUGAUUAUAUUCACCUUGGAUGUGGAGGAAAAAGGCAAAGAUCAAGAUUGUGAAUACCUCCCGCCCUUUCCAAAUGGGUCUGAGGGAUUUAAGGAGAGCUUCCUGGAGGAAGAGAUGUGUACUCAAAUGAUGAAGGAUGAGGAAGAGAGCCAGAGAGGGGCCAACAGAGGAUCCCUGGGGGAACACAGGUCUCAGCUCAGCUUUCUGAAGAGGCCCCAGAGGGUCAUCCUCCAUGGAAGCACAGUGAGAAGGCACCAUCUGUGGAUUGGAGGGGCCC
This is a long non-coding RNA of Perognathus longimembris pacificus (Pacific pocket mouse), 445 nucleotides long. RefSeq lists it as uncharacterized. The record is from RefSeq and is a predicted model, not a curated record. NCBI's taxonomy places the organism in Eukaryota, Metazoa, Chordata, Mammalia, Rodentia, Heteromyidae. The transcript has 3 exons.